UACGUAGGGGGCAAGCGUUGGCCGGAAUCAUUGGGCGUAAAGAGCGUGUAGGCGGCCCGAUAAGUCCGCUGUGAAAGUCCAGGGCUCAACCCUGGGAUGCCGGUGGAUACUGUCGGGCUCGAGUCCGGAAGAGGAGUGUGGAAUUCCUGGUGUAGCGGUGAAAUGCGCAGAUAUCAGGAAGAACACCCGUGGCGAAGGCGGUUCUCUGGGACGGUACUGACGCUGAGACGCGAAAGCGUGGGGAGCGAACAGG
Molecule: ribosomal RNA, 253 nt
Filed under: uncultured bacterium
Lineage: Bacteria
Description: partial 16S ribosomal RNA
Rfam family: Bacterial small subunit ribosomal RNA
Source: RNAcentral